CAGGCUGCAACCCGCCUGCAUGAAGUCGGAAUUGCUAGUAAUCGCGGAUCAGCAUGCCGCGGUGAAUACGUUCCCGGGCCUUGUACACACCGCCCGUCACACCAUGAGAGUCGGGGACACCCGAAGCCUGUAGCAUAACCGCGAGGGGUGCGCAGUCGAAGGUGGAUUCGAUGAUUGGGGUGAAGUCGUAACAAGGUACC
RNAcentral lists this ribosomal RNA (200 nucleotides) under uncultured bacterium. RNAcentral's name for it is "partial 16S ribosomal RNA". It matches the Rfam family "Bacterial small subunit ribosomal RNA", at positions 1301 to 1500 of the family's 1533-position model. The record is from RNAcentral.